Molecule: small RNA, 182 nt
Filed under: Knoellia aerolata
Lineage: Bacteria; Bacillati; Actinomycetota; Actinomycetes; Micrococcales; Intrasporangiaceae
Description: c-di-AMP sequence
Rfam family: c-di-AMP riboswitch aptamer (ydaO/yuaA leader) (bases 30-182)
About the family: This family represents a conserved RNA structure found upstream of the ydaO and yuaA genes in Bacillus subtilis and related genes in other bacteria. The ydaO/yuaA element is thought to act as a genetic "off" switch for the ydaO and yuaA genes in its native state.
Source: RNAcentral
GAGACGGAUAUGCCGAGUCCUGCCACCGUCGUCGACUGCAGCGCAAUCCGCUUGGCAGGAGCGGGGGACCCAAUCGUGGGCCGACCAGCCAGGUCGGUCCUUGGGGUGAAGCCAGUCACGACUGGCCGGGCAGACCUCACGCCCGAACCCGACAGCUCACCUCGUAGGCAUCGAGAGGUUCA